AUUCUGCCCAUGCGGGGAAGGAUGAGAAGGUUCGACUCGAGGCCAGCGAGAGAGCGUUGCCGCAGGCAACGACCCGUAGGGCGAAGCGCGCAGCGCUGAGUAAUCCUUCCCCCACCACCA
Molecule: small RNA, 120 nt
Filed under: Escherichia coli
Lineage: Bacteria; Pseudomonadati; Pseudomonadota; Gammaproteobacteria; Enterobacterales; Enterobacteriaceae
Description: RtT sRNA
Rfam family: RtT RNA
About the family: This family represents a bacterial cis-regulatory element known as RtT RNA.
Source: RNAcentral